RNAcentral lists this ribosomal RNA (484 nucleotides) under uncultured bacterium. RNAcentral describes it as "partial 16S ribosomal RNA". It matches the Rfam family "Bacterial small subunit ribosomal RNA", at positions 29 to 507 of the family's 1533-position model. The record is from RNAcentral.
AUUGAACGCUGGCGGCAUGCUUUACACAUGCCAGUCGAACGGCAGCGCGGGCUUCGGCCUGGCGGCGAGUGGCGAACGGGUGAGUAAUACAUCGGAACGUGCCCAGUAGUGGGGGAUAGCUCGGCGAAAGCCGGAUUAAUACCGCAUACGACCUGAGGGUGAAAGCGGGGGAUCUUCGGACCUCGCGCUAUUGGAGCGGCCGAUGGCAGAUUAGCUAGUUGGUGGGGUAAAGGCCUACCAAGGCGACGAUCUGUAGCUGGUCUGAGAGGACGACCAGCCACACUGGAACUGAGACACGGCCCAGACUCCUACGGGAGGCAGCAGUGGGGAAUUUUGGACAAUGGGCGAAAGCCUGAUCCAGCAAUGCCGCGUGUGUGAUGAAGGCCUUCGGGUUGUAAAGCACUUUUGGCGGGAACGAAAAGGACUGUGCCAAUACCACGGUUCGAUGACGGUACCCGAAGAAUAAGCACCGGCUAACUACGUG